Molecule: small nuclear RNA, 92 nt
Filed under: Catagonus wagneri (Chacoan peccary)
Lineage: Eukaryota; Metazoa; Chordata; Mammalia; Artiodactyla; Tayassuidae
Source: RNAcentral
UUGCUUUGGCAGCAUGUAUACUGAAAUUGGAAAGAUGCAGAGAAGAUUAGCAUGUGCAAGGAUGACAUGCAAAUUUGUGGCAAAAAAUUUUU